CCCUUAGAUGUUCUGGGCCGCACGCGCGCUACACUGAUGCAUUCAACGAGUUUCUUCCUGGUCCGAGAGGAAUGGGUAACCUUUUGAAAGUGCAUCGUGAUAGGGAUAGACUAUUGCAAUUAUUAGUCUUGAACGAGGAAUUCCUAGUAAGCACAAGUCAUCAGCUUGUGUUGAUUACGUCCCUGCCCUUUGUACACACCGCCCGUCGCUCCUACCGAUUGAAUGUUCCGGUGAGCUCUUCGGACUGCGCGGUCUGCAGUUUCUACGUUCCGUGCGGAAAGUUGCGCAAACCUUAACAUUUAGAGGAAGGAGAAGUCGUAACA
This 323-nucleotide ribosomal RNA is filed under the name uncultured eukaryote. RNAcentral describes it as "partial 18S ribosomal RNA". It matches the Rfam family "Eukaryotic small subunit ribosomal RNA", at positions 1470 to 1796 of the family's 1831-position model. The record is from RNAcentral.